UUAACUUUUAUAGAGUGACUAAUGCCCUGUGAAGAUAAGGUAGACUCUCAGUCACCUGUGUUUUAAUCCAGGCUGAAGAAAUUAUGCCAAAGGCACACUGACAAAAACUUGAUUCCUUUGGAGAGGAUGGCAGUAGCUUGGUGGGGAGCAGAAAGGGUCUUGAUUUUAAAAGUCUCAUUGGAAUGACUCUCCCUUCCUCACUGUGAACACAGUUUAGCAUUUAUGUACUUUGGAAGGACAAAGAGGUGAGGUAAUUUACUCCUUAAACAUAUACAACCCUAUUCCAUGUGCAAAUUCUAUUAACUUCAGCUGAAGAUGUAAAAAAUUAGUCCUGCGGCAUGUGAAGGGAUUCCUUUUUAAGAGAGGGAAACAAAAAUGUAUUUGUGCCAACUGUGUCAGACAUAUUUUACUACACAGAACACAGAUUUUUGACACACUUGGCUCCAGAAAGCAAUUUAAUUAUUACUGUUGACCAGUAAAGAUUUAAAUGGCCUAUUUUGGGGUCUGGAAAUUUUGUUUCAACUUUCCAAGACAAUGGGACCUUGCCUUCACUUUAUCACAAAGUGAAACUUCAAACUUUGAACUUUCUAGGACCAACAUUUAACAGCUACACAAGAAGUCCUGAUUAACAAACGAAACCUAUAUCAGAAUCACACAAACAACAACAAAAUCUGCAACUCUUCAUUUUAAACUGAUUAUGGUUAAAAGUCGAAGUC
This is a long non-coding RNA of Mustela erminea (ermine), 716 nucleotides long. RefSeq lists it as uncharacterized. The record is from RefSeq and is a predicted model, not a curated record. The transcript has 3 exons. Lineage: Eukaryota; Metazoa; Chordata; Mammalia; Carnivora; Mustelidae.